UUGAGUUUUAGCCUUGCGGCCGUACUCCCAGGCGGGGCGCUUAAUGCGUUAGCUACGGCACGGAUCCCGUGGAAGGAAACCCACACCUAGCGCCCACCGUUUACGGCGUGGACUACCAGGGUAUCUAAUCCUGUUCGCUACCCACGCUUUCGCUCCUCAGCGUCAGUUACUGCCCAGAGACCCGCCUUCGCCACCGGUGUUCCUCCUGAUAUCUGCGCAUUUCACCGCUACACCAGGAAUUCCAGUCUCCCCUGCAGUACUCAAGUCUGCCCGUAUCGCCCGCAAGCUUGGGGUUGAGCCCCAAGUUUUCACGGACGACGCGACAAACCGCCUACGAGCUCUUUACGCCCAGUAAUUCCGGACAACGCUCGCACCCUACGUAUUACCGCGGCUGCUGGCACGUAGUUGGCCGGUGCUUCUUCUGCAGGUACCGUCACUCUCGCUUCGUCCCUGCUGAAAGAGGUUUACAACCCGAAGGCCGUCAUCCCUCACGCGGCGUCGCUGCAUACAGGCUUUCGCCCAUUGUGCAAUAUUCCCCACUGCUGC
RNAcentral lists this ribosomal RNA (546 nucleotides) under Rhodococcus (subgen. Prescottella) equi. RNAcentral's name for it is "Rhodococcus hoagii partial 16S ribosomal RNA". Lineage: Bacteria; Bacillati; Actinomycetota; Actinomycetes; Mycobacteriales; Nocardiaceae. The record is from RNAcentral.